Molecule: ribosomal RNA, 253 nt
Filed under: uncultured bacterium
Lineage: Bacteria
Description: partial 16S ribosomal RNA
Rfam family: Bacterial small subunit ribosomal RNA
Source: RNAcentral
UACGUAGGGCGCGAGCGUUGUCCGGAAUUAUUGGGCGUAAAGAGCUCGUAGGCGGCCUGUUGCGUCCGCUGUGAAAUCCCGGGGCUUAACCCCGGGCGUGCAGUGGAUACGGGCUGGCUGGAGGCAGGCAGGGGAGAACGGAAUUCCCGGUGUAGCGGUGAAAUGCGCAGAUAUCAGGAGGAACACCGGUGGCGAAGGCGGGUCUCUGGGCAGUAACUGACGCUGAGGAGCGAAAGCGUGGGGAGCAAACAGG